UUAUAGAAAGUCACGCCGACUUCUCCACUCAUGCUUGCAUGCAUAAAUAUUUCUGUCGUUGCCUAACCCUCGUCCAGUAAAGGCAUACUUUUCCUAUCUCCAAAACUUUAAAAUUUCACAUCGAGAUAAUAUUUUAACCAUAUUUCAAUUAGUGCGACUAGUAAUGGAAGAUUGAUAAUUGGUACUAACAUGCAGCCUUUUAAGACUGGUUCUCCAUCAACUUUCACCGUUGAAAAUUUAGCCUCAAAAUCCCGUACAUCUUCAUCUCUACGCAUUUAUCUAGCUAUCGUCUUAUUUUCGAUAAACGUCGCCGUGGAAAAAAUUUAUUUAAAUGACAUCGACCCCAAUGGAUUAAAGUAAUCGACUACCAGUUGUCACCCUACCGUAAUGAUCCGUUACCUGUACAAGACAAGGAGCAAGAAUUCCAUGUCACCUGAUUAGGUCAACUACCCGACGAUGCAACCAUAUUUCCAGGUCAUGAAUUUUACUAGAGACAUAUUCUUCAAGCCAAAUGUUUAUUUUUAGAUCUAGUUACUUUAGAAUAUGCAUGUCAAAAUGUACUAAUUCACUAAAUCUUAUCCUUAGUUACACUUGCUCCAUUUAAAUUAAUUUGACUAAAGAG
Long non-coding RNA from Folsomia candida, 622 nucleotides. RefSeq lists it as uncharacterized. The record is from RefSeq and is a predicted model, not a curated record. The transcript is spliced from 3 exons. Lineage: Eukaryota; Metazoa; Arthropoda; Collembola; Entomobryomorpha; Isotomidae.